GCCAAAGCUUAGUGGUAGAGCAUCUGCCCUGUAUGCAGAAGUUCCCACAUUCAAUCCCUGGCAUCCUCAGGCU
Non-coding RNA from Podarcis lilfordi (Lilford's wall lizard), 73 nucleotides. Lineage: Eukaryota; Metazoa; Chordata; Lepidosauria; Squamata; Lacertidae. The record is from the annotation of a GenBank genome assembly.